This 305-nucleotide long non-coding RNA is filed under the name Androctonus crassicauda. Lineage: Eukaryota; Metazoa; Arthropoda; Arachnida; Scorpiones; Buthidae. The record is from RNAcentral.
AAGGAAUCAAACUUAAUAGUAAAUGAUUGUUAUUAAUGAAUUUUGUUCUAUUCAGUAAAGGAAUAUUGAGAACUAUAAUAAAGUUACCAGCGGCGGACCUACAGCUAUCGAGACCCGAGCGGAAGUCUCCCUGGAGCCCCCUAAUUGGAAUGAUCGCCAUACAAAAAUUUCGACACAAAUAUAUGAUAUUUGUGUCGAAAAUACAAAUAAUAUAUACUUGCGUUGACAUUUGUAUGGUGGAAAUUAUGGCCAUACAACUUGGAUUGGUGGAAAUGAUCACCAAUAUUGGAUUUGUAUGGUAUGGU